Molecule: non-coding RNA, 48 nt
Filed under: unclassified sequences
Description: gut-2 RNA
Rfam family: gut-2 RNA
About the family: gut metagenomes. Environment (Cow rumen (57))
Source: Rfam by way of RNAcentral
AGCCCUCCGGCAAUGGGGUCGGAGGAAGAACCAAUAGGGGCUGGUGUA